Molecule: ribosomal RNA, 419 nt
Filed under: uncultured bacterium
Lineage: Bacteria
Description: bacterial SSU rRNA
Rfam family: Bacterial small subunit ribosomal RNA
Source: RNAcentral
GGAAUAUUGGUCAAUGGAGGGAACUCUGAACCAGCCAUGCCGCGUGCAGGAUGAAGGCCCUCGGGUUGUAAACUGCUUUUGUACGGAACGAAAAGCCUCUUUCUAAUAAAGAGGGGUGAUGACGGUACCGUAAGAAUAAGCACCGGCUAACUACGUGCCAGCAGCCGCGGUAAUACGUAGGGUGCGAGCGUUAAUCGGAAUUACUGGGCGUAAAGCGUGCGCAGGCGGUCUUGCAAGACAGUGGUGAAAUCCCCGGGCUCAACCUGGGAACUGCCAUUGUGACUGCAAGGCUGGAGUACGGCAGAGGGGGAUGGAAUUCCGCGUGUAGCAGUGAAAUGCGUAGAUAUGCGGAGGAACACCGAUGGCGAAGGCAGUCCCCUGGGCCUGUACUGACGCUCAUGCACGAAAGCGUGGGGAGC